UACGUAGGGGGCAAGCGUUGUCCGGAAUUAUUGGGCGUAAAGAGCGUGUAGGCGGUCCGGUAAGUCAGCUGUGAAAGUCAGGGGCUCAACCCUGAAUGCCGGUUGAUACUGUCGGGCUAGAGUGCGGGAGAGGCGAGUGGAAUUCCUGGUGUAGCGGUGAAAUGCGCAGAUAUCAGGAAGAACACCCGUGGCUAAGGCGGCUCUCUAGUACGGUACUGACGCUGAGACGCGAAAGCGUGGGGAGCGAACAGG
Molecule: ribosomal RNA, 252 nt
Filed under: uncultured bacterium
Lineage: Bacteria
Description: partial 16S ribosomal RNA
Rfam family: Bacterial small subunit ribosomal RNA
Source: RNAcentral